GUGAUUGACUUUCCAUAACAAAGACAAACAACAAAACAAAAUAACCAAGAGAACCAGGAGACACCUCCCAAACUAGCAAUGCUAGCCCCAGCUAAUGGCUGCCAAUCAACAGAAAAUACCCAUGCCUCUUCUUCUGUGAUGGCUCUUAUUUAUACUGGAAUUAAAUCCUUCAUUCUGUCAGUAGACCACAUGUGUCUCAGCACCCGCAAUUCCCUCUACAGAUGCUCUUUCUGGCCAACCAAAUCUAGCUGCAUAAUUCUAGAUGUUUCCAUUCCACUCCCUUCAGUUCUUCCCCCCAACUUGCUCUUUCUUCCUUCUAUUUCUUCUGUAAUACUCUCUCAAUGGCUUUGGUCCUUGAACCCCAUUCCUGGGACUUUAGCUGAGCUUCCAUCAAUUAAGUUUAGGAAUUUUAUUCAUUUGUAACACUAGGAAGUUUAGAAUUUAUUAUUAUUAUUAUUAU
RNAcentral lists this unclassified non-coding RNA (460 nucleotides) under Hevea brasiliensis (rubber tree). The record is from RNAcentral. Lineage: Eukaryota; Viridiplantae; Streptophyta; Magnoliopsida; Malpighiales; Euphorbiaceae.